AUGACUGGUUUUUGGGACGAGGAACUGAUCAGAUCUAUAUUCAUAUCGGUUGAUGUAGACAGGAUCAUGCAAAUUCCCCUCAACUAUGGGGCUUUCGAGGACUUUAUCACAUACCACCCGGAUCAUAAAGGGUUUUUCUCUGUGAAAUCAGCAUACAAAGUACAAUGGAUACGAUCUUUCCAGGCACAUGCAACGGUGAUGGCGCGACUUGGAGGCUCAAGAACUCCAGCAGUGUGGAGUACACUAUGGAAACAAAAGGUCCCACGUAAAAUUCAAAAAUUUUGUUGGCGUUCUCUACAUGGUAUUAUUCCACUAAAGUCCAUACUCACGAACCAUCAUAUUGCAACUAAUGGGGCAUGUCCUAUAUGUCAUCAAGAUGCGGAAGAUGUCUGCCACCUACUGUUUGAUUGUUGCAAUGCCAAGCACCUCUGGGAAUGCCUAGGCAUUGCGGGAAGCAAAGUUGAUUGA
This 468-nucleotide ribosomal RNA is filed under the name Triticum aestivum (bread wheat). RNAcentral's name for it is "partial small subunit ribosomal RNA". Lineage: Eukaryota; Viridiplantae; Streptophyta; Magnoliopsida; Poales; Poaceae. The record is from RNAcentral.